AAGGAAUCUUCCGCAAUGGACGAAAGUCUGACGGAGCAACGCCGCGUGAGUGAUGAAGGCUUUCGGGUCGUAAAACUCUGUUGUUAGGGAAGAACAAGUGCUAGUUGAAUAAGCUGGCACCUUGACGGUACCUAACCAGAAAGCCACGGCUAACUACGUGCCAGCAGCCGCGGUAAUACGAAGGUGGCAAGCGUUAUCCGGAAUUAUUGGGCGUAAAGCGCGCGCAGGUGGUUUCUUAAGUCUGAUGU
Molecule: ribosomal RNA, 248 nt
Filed under: uncultured Bacillaceae bacterium
Lineage: Bacteria; Bacillati; Bacillota; Bacilli; Caryophanales; Bacillaceae
Description: partial 16S ribosomal RNA
Rfam family: Bacterial small subunit ribosomal RNA
Source: RNAcentral